This 691-nucleotide ribosomal RNA is filed under the name Cunninghamella elegans. RNAcentral describes it as "eukaryotic LSU rRNA". It matches the Rfam family "Eukaryotic large subunit ribosomal RNA", at positions 35 to 661 of the family's 3401-position model. Lineage: Eukaryota; Fungi; Mucoromycota; Mucoromycetes; Mucorales; Cunninghamellaceae. The record is from RNAcentral.
UAAGCAUAUCAAUAAGCGGAGGAAAAGAAAAUAACAAUGAUUCCCCUAGUAACGGCGAGUGAAGAGGGAAAAGCUCAAAGUUGGAACCUGGUGGGCAUAGCUCACCCGGAUUGUAAACUAAAGUUUUUGAGUCGUUUAGUCAGCCAGGUAAAUAAGUCCUCUGGAAAGGGGCGACAUAGAGGGUGAAAUCCCCGUCUUUGGCCUGAGUUUUGAUUAGGCGUUUGGCUUGGAAACGAAGAGUCAGGUUGUUUGGGAAUGCAGCCUAAAAUGGGAGGUAAAUCUCUCCUAAAGCUAAAUAUUGACGAAAGACCGAUAGCGAACAAGUACCGUGAGGGAAAGAUGAAAAGCACUUUGAAAAGAGGGUCAAAAAGUACGUGAAAUUGCUGAAAGGGAACCGUAUGAAAUCAGACUUACUGGUAGGUAAUCAAUCUUUCCCUUGGGAAGGAUGCACUUGCCUGCUAUGUACGCCAGCGACAUUUUGGUUGUGGAGGAAAAAAAUAGUUGGAAUGUAGCCUGGGUUUCGGCUUAGGUGUUAUAGACUACUAUAAAAUACUCUCGGCUAGAAUGAGGAACGCAGCAAACCGUAAGGCGAAGAUUUUAGGCGCUUGGGGGGAAUCAUUAGAGAAUUUCUGCUUCGGGUGGUGCUUUAGUGAUUUCGUUCAACUCGUUUGAAUUUCUUUUUAUUUGCUUA